UGCGUUUUAAUUUUUGACUCUAUUUGUUGUGGUGCUAUGAGUUUUUAGUUUGUUUUUAUGUUGUUUUUUGUAAAAUAUUUUGAUUUUUUUUUUAGUUUCUUGUGGUAUCAAAAAUUUGUUUUUUGAACUGGAUUAGUACCCAGGUAAUCAAAAUUUAAUAAUUCGGGAGUAAAGUUUUGUUUAAACCGAAAAAAUAUUGACUGACUUUAGAUUUUUCUUUGGAACAUGUGAUUUGCUGGAGAGCCCUCUUUUUUGGUGAAUUUUGUUGGCACAUGUAUGAUUGUUUAGUUUUUAUUUUAUUUUGUAAUGCUUUGUUGUUUUGGCAUUAAAAACAGAUAUAUAUUUGGCUUAUGAAUUUAUGUUUCAUGUGUUACUAUUAUGAAUUUUUUUUGGAUUAGUUUUUUAUUUUUUUUUGAAAUUGGAAAAGAAAGUAAUUUUUUUUUAAUGUUUUAAUGAAUUUAAUAAAUAAGG
Molecule: ribosomal RNA, 471 nt
Filed under: Onchocerca ochengi
Lineage: Eukaryota; Metazoa; Nematoda; Chromadorea; Rhabditida; Onchocercidae
Description: partial 12S ribosomal RNA
Source: RNAcentral